UACAGAGGUCCCAAGCGUUGUUCGAAUUCACUGGGCUUAAAGGGCUCGUAGGCUGCCGUAUGUGUCUGCAGUGAAAUCCCCCGGCUCAACCGGGGAACGGCUGUGGAAACUAUGCGGCUCGAGGACAGGAGAGGCGGGCGGAAUUCCCGGUGGAGCGGUGAAAUGCGUAGAUAUCGGGAGGAACGCCAGAGGCGAAAGCGGCCCGCUGGUCUGUCCCUGACGCUGAGGAGCGAAAGCCAGGGGAGCAAACGGG
RNAcentral lists this ribosomal RNA (253 nucleotides) under uncultured bacterium. RNAcentral's name for it is "partial 16S ribosomal RNA". It matches the Rfam family "Bacterial small subunit ribosomal RNA", at positions 524 to 776 of the family's 1533-position model. The record is from RNAcentral.